ACAACCCGGUCAAGUUUUGGUGCCUGGGCGCGUAGCCCUGGCUUAAAGUGGGGAAGUCCGGUGAAAGUCCGGCACUGUCGCGCAGCGGUAACGGUGCAUUGAUCGCCCGAAGUCCGAAUACCUGCCAAAACGCCUUCUUACUC
RNAcentral lists this non-coding RNA (143 nucleotides) under Meiothermus ruber. The record is from RNAcentral. Lineage: Bacteria; Thermotogati; Deinococcota; Deinococci; Thermales; Thermaceae.